AGUAGUGCGGUAUAACAAAAUGUCUAUGCUUCUAAUCGUCUUCGGACAACUUUUGACAAUCUGACCUCAAAUCAGGUAGGACUACCCGCUGAACUUAA
This 98-nucleotide ribosomal RNA is filed under the name Lividopora vincta. Its description in RNAcentral is "Rigidoporus vinctus partial 28S ribosomal RNA". Lineage: Eukaryota; Fungi; Basidiomycota; Agaricomycetes; Polyporales; Cerrenaceae. The record is from RNAcentral.